Molecule: long non-coding RNA, 765 nt
Filed under: Brachypodium distachyon (stiff brome)
Lineage: Eukaryota; Viridiplantae; Streptophyta; Magnoliopsida; Poales; Poaceae
Description: long non-coding RNA (BDIS_LNC001865)
Source: RNAcentral
GAUCGCGGUGGUUAAGACACGAUCGAUGGACGGGCGAAUUUAGUUUGGUCCCCGCCGUACUCUUGUGGAUUGGAUCGGCGUGUGUGACAGUGUGAGAGAAGCCUGUUUUCCUAUUUCUUUCGCCUAAGGAUUUGCUUAGUGCAUCUUGUCCCUUUGUUGCAUCAAGAUAUCAUUCCUCCGUGUCGAUAUGCGACGGCAAUGAGACAAUACUACAGCGGUGUUCUUGUACGGCUUGUACGUAUUAGUUGUUCGGUUACCAACUUGUUCUACCUACGGCGUAAAACCGGGAUAAAAUGUGUUCAACUGUUUCGGAUGAGACGAAAACAUGAACCACGCCAUAUGACAGCAUGGCGAGCACGUGGCGAUGCGUUUCCACUCGACCCCUCUCGAGCUUCUGCAUGCGUUCGCAAUUGUUGAAUGUGAAUAGUAUACGCAAUUCGUCUUCAUGUAUAUAGUCGUGCUUCCUCCUCUUCUAGCAUAAAAAAUAAAAAGACAUCAACGAGAAGAAAAAAAAGUAGUGAUACAAACAGAAACUUUAACGAAAGUAUAGUCUCGGUUAAAGAAAAAGCGAAAAUAUUUUUGACUGGAGUAGAAGCGGCCGGGAACAGAAUUUCAGCAUUUAUCGUGUUUUGUUUGUCUAUGUCCGUAUCUUGCUGAUCCCUGAUAGCGUUGGUUGCAGAGCAAAGUGAAAUGUACCCGGAAAAAAGUGAGCGAAAUGUUCUAUUUCUAUAGAAAUAGAAUAAAAUGGUUAUAGUUUUUUUAUAU